Molecule: long non-coding RNA, 2350 nt
Organism: Nyctereutes procyonoides (raccoon dog)
Lineage: Eukaryota; Metazoa; Chordata; Mammalia; Carnivora; Canidae
Exons: 3
Source: RefSeq, a predicted model, not a curated record
UGGCCCCUAGAGGACUAUGGAAGAGCUGAUUCUAAAAGUCAGUGGGGAAGGGCACCUCUGCAGAGCAUGUGACUCUUGAUCUGGGAUUAUGAGUUCAAGCCCCACAUUGGGCAUAGAGCUUACUUUAAAAAAUAAAUAAAAUAAAAUAAAAUUAGGGCAGCCCGGGUGGCUCAGCGGUUUAGCGCCACCUGCAGCCCAGGGAUCCAGUCGAACGUCAGGCUUCCUGCAUGGAGCCUGUUUCUCCCUCUGCCUGUGUCUCUCAUGAAUAACGAAAUAAAUAUCUUAAAAAAAAAUAAAUUGAAAAAAUUAAGAGUUAAAAAGAAAGUCAGUGGGAAAAGAGAGAAGAGAUUCCAAGCAAAUGGAGGAACAUGCUUGAUUGAGGGUGAUCAGAAGAACUUGGUGAUUGAAGAUGAACAGGUAUUGUGUGGUCAGUGUGCAUUCAUUUAUUCAUUCCGUAAGUGACUCUGGGUAUACAAAACUUAGCAAGCCAGUGUGGAAAAUAAAAAUCUUGAUGAAGUGUUUUUCAAACUUCCAUCUAAUGUAUUGUAUUAAUGAUUGGACCCACUGCCAAAGACCUACGACUCCAUGGUGUCUCUAUUCUUCUGAACCCCACAAGAGAUCUUGGCUCUCAGAAGGGAAACUCCUUACCCAAACAACAGGAAGCAUGGUUGAAUUAAUCUUUGGUAUUUCCUGCCAAAGCAGGAAAAGAGACUCUAUGGUCUCUUGCAGACUUUCCAGAAAGGGUUAAUUGCACUGAAAUCGGUGCCUCAGGGCCAUAUCUAUUUUGCCAGCCACCUAUAUGACAGCUUUUGAUUCUGAGUUCUUCUUUCUCCUGAAGGAAUAAUGGUACAUGAAAGUAAUUUCUAUCAGCAGUUUCAAUUUUGUAUAACUUGUCCAUAUGUAACAACGAACACCUCCUUCUGCAUUACCCUGUGGAGGGCCAAUUCAGGAAAGCAUUAAAGCACUGGUCUGGCAGCACUACCCAAUAAUCCCUGAAAGACCAAAGAACCUGAAGUUAAAGGGACUUUUUUAAGAUCCGUAUUCUUUAGUGUCUUACUUUGUGCUACAUAAUUUAUUACUUGCUUCAGUUCAGGAAGAAGAGCCAUGAUAUGAAUUACAUACACUUCCCAAGGAUGCCACUUUCUGUUUUUAUUCCUAUUACCUUUCACAGUCCUGGGCAUGUCAUAUGUGCCCAAUUAAACCUAAGUUAAAACUGUAAACCUUAUUCAAGAACUUUGAGGCAAAGUUAGUAGAAAACAAUAAAGGCAACUUAGGAAGUGGUUGAAUGAUGAAAAUAGUCCUGUGUUGAAACGCAACCAGGUGUAUGUUAUCGGACUUCUGUGUGGCCUGCUAGGUCCAGAAUGAAAAUUUUCUCGGUACACAGGAGUUAUGGUGGCUGGAUAACAGUUACACGAAAUUUAUUUCAUUUAAGUAUACAAGAACAAUUGUGUGUGUGUGUGUGUGUGUGUGUACUAACAUUAGCUCCUUUGCCUAAUGUAAAAAUCCUUUACAUGACUUAAAACAUUACAAAUAUCACAACGGAAUAAAAUUCCAGACCUCCAAAGCAGAUAGUAUUAGGUUUAAAAAUAGAAAAAUUGGCCAAGGAAUGAAAAAUAAAUAUAUAUUUUUUAAAUUUUUAAAAAUUAUUUAUUUAUGAUAGUCAUACAGAGAGAGAGAGAGGCAGAGACAAGGCAGAGACAUAGGCAGAGGGAGAAGCAGGCUCCAUGCACCGGGAGCCCAACGUGGGACUCGAUCCCCGGUCUCCAGGAUCGCACCCUGGGCCAAAGGCAGGCGCCAAACCGCUGCGCCACCCAGGGAUCCCGGAAUGAAAAAUAUUAAUAGAAAUAGACUGAAGACCAUAGGGCUUUCAGCGCAUGACUUCCUAAGUGUAAUAAACAAUGGUGAAAGAACUAUUUAUAAAAUGUAGUUGAAAAAGAAUAUUAAAACUGAGAAAAAUAAACUUGGAUUAAGUUCUUAUAGUAUAAACCACAAUAAAUUGCAGGUGAGUUCCAGUUAAGCAUAAAGCAUAAUGAGUUGAAUGAAAUAGAAUUGUAUAAGUAUCUUAACUGGAAAGAAGAGUAUUUGUUUUAACAAAUUGUUUAGCAAUCCAAUCAUGAAAUGGGCAAAGGACAUGAAGAGAAAUCUCACAGAGGAAGACAUAGACAUGGCCAACAUGCACAUGAGAAAAUGCUCUGCAUCACUUGCCAUCAGGGAAAUACAAAUCAAAACCACAAUGAGAUACCACCUCACACCAGUGAGAAUGGGGAAAAUUAACAAGGCAGGAAACAACAAAUGUUGGAGAGGAUGCGGAGAAAAGGGAACCCUCUUACACUGUUGGUGGGAAUGUGAA